Molecule: ribosomal RNA, 565 nt
Filed under: uncultured bacterium
Lineage: Bacteria
Description: partial 16S ribosomal RNA
Rfam family: Bacterial small subunit ribosomal RNA
Source: RNAcentral
UGGGGAAUUUUGGACAAUGGGGGAAACCCUGAUCCAGCCAUCCCGCGUGUGCGAUGAAGGCCUUCGGGUUGUAAAGCACUUUUGGCAGGAAAGAAACGUCGCGGGUUAAUACCCCGCGAAACUGACGGUACCUGCAGAAUAAGCACCGGCUAACUACGUGCCAGCAGCCGCGGUAAUACGUAGGGUGCAAGCGUUAAUCGGAAUUACUGGGCGUAAAGCGUGCGCAGGCGGUUCGGAAAGAAAGAUGUGAAAUCCCAGAGCUUAACUUUGGAACUGCAUUUUUAACUACCGGGCUAGAGUGUGUCAGAGGGAGGUGGAAUUCCGCGUGUAGCAGUGAAAUGCGUAGAUAUGCGGAGGAACACCGAUGGCGAAGGCAGCCUCCUGGGAUAACACUGACGCUCAUGCACGAAAGCGUGGGGAGCAAACAGGAUUAGAUACCCUGGUAGUCCACGCCCUAAACGAUGUCAACUAGCUGUUGGGGCCUUCGGGCCUUGGUAGCGCAGCUAACGCGUGAAGUUGACCGCCUGGGGAGUACGGUCGCAAGAUUAAAAACUUAAAGGAAUUG